GGAAAGUAAGUUCUAUUCUAGUUAGGAAUAGGAAAACUAGCUCUCUUUCCUUGUUCUAAUAGUUUUAGGAAUCCUAAUGUGAUAUGUUUGUAACCAGCACCUAUAAUCUAUAAAUAGGGCUGCAGGGAGCUCAUAUAAUGUGUCCUCAGAUCAGAGAAGAGAUCUCAGAGAGUUCUCAGUUAACAUACAAACAUAGAGGCAGGGAGAGCCAAGGGUGAUAGAGAGAUCUAGCAAAGAGGUUGGGGAUUAGCAUAGGGAUUUCAAUAAGUACUUGUAAUCAAGUUGUUAUUCUCCAUAGUGCUAGUGAUUCUCAAGAGAGAUCACACAGAGGACGUAGGCAAAGUUUUUGUCGAACCUCUAUAAAAUUCUGUGUUCGUGUGCUGUGGUUUUCUGCUGUGAUAUUUUGCAUCAUCAUCCUAUUAUUGUUUGCACAGUCAUAAGCCUAUAAAGAGAAACAAGGUUCUGGGUAAAAGGUGCAUAUUUACUACAAAGUGGUAUCAGAGCUUAGGCUCAAGGUGUUUCUAAGAUGGCAGAUGACAAGGCAGAUGCAGGCAGCAAUGUGAUGCCCAUUAUGUUGAAUGGGAAUGAUAACUUCACAUUAUGGCAGAGGAAGAUGAAAAGUGUCCUGAUUCUACAAGGUCUGUACAAGGCUAUUCUCGGGAUAGAGAAUAAGGCAGCUGAUAUGGCAGACAAGGUUUGGCAGAAGAUGGACAAGAAGGCAAAGAGCUUUAUAGAGCUACAUCUUGCUGAUCAUGUAUUGGUUCAUGUAUUGGCUAGUGCCGGUGAGAAUAUGAACAGCAAAGAGACCUGGGAUUAUCUCGAGAAAGUUUACGCGAGUAAGGUUCAUAUUGGUGAGAAUAUGGACAGCAGUAAGACAUUGGACAAUGUCAAAGAGGUUGACGCGGAUAAACUUUUCUUGAAAGACGAACUCUAUAGUCUUCGGAUGGAAGAAGGCGGGGAUCUGCAGGAUCAUCUGAAUAACUUUCAGAUUUGUGUUGCCAAUUUAUCAAAGGUGGAUGUUAGGUAUAAAGAUGAGGAGAAAACACUUAUGCUGCUAAGAUCUUUACCAGCUUCAUUCAAGCACUUCAUCACCAGACUCGUUUCCGGUAAGGAUUCUCUCAAGUACGAUGAGAUUACCGAAGCUAUUCAAUCUUAUUUUAAGAUGAGUAGGGAGACCAAAAGCUCUCAAGGAGGCCUUCAUGUCAAAGGCAAUGAGACAGGUCAGUUGACGAGUAAGAAGGAUAAAUCUGGUAAUAGGAGUACAUCAAAAUCCAAGGAAAAAUACAAGAAAGGUUGCUUCAAAUGUGGUGCUACCGAUCACUUGAAAAGAAACUGCAGAGAAGGGAAGAUGAAAGCAGCGGCGAUGGCAGGGAGUUCAAACACAGCCAAUGUAGUCAUCAAACAAGAUAAAGAUGACGGUGAACUCCUUGUGGUAGCAGCCAGCUCCAAUGCUUUCAGAAAUUGGAUUUUGGAUACCGAUUGUACAUUCCACAUGUGUGCAAUCCGAGAAUGGUUCGACACAUAUGAGGAGAGUAGCAGCGGAGAGGUUUUUAGGGGAGAUGACUCACCGUGUAGGAUCCUAGGUAUUGGAUCAGUGAAAAUCAGAAUGCAUGACGGAGUUGUUAGAACGCUGGAGAAUGUCAGAUAUAUUCCUAAGUUAAGGAAGAACUUGAUAUCUUUGGGUACUUUGGACAAGGCCGGAUAUAGGUAUCGCUCUGAAGAGGAAAGACUCAAAGUUCUCAAGGGAUCACUUGUUGUGAUGAAGGGCGACAUUCAACCUAACAACUUAUACAAGCUUCAAGGGACUACAAUAAUAGGUGGAGUUGCAAUGUCUACUGAGGUAAAAGACAAGACUGAGCUAUGGCAUCAUCGCCUUGGGCACAUGAGUCAAAGAGGAAUGCAGGAACUCCACAAGAAAGGUAAGCUAGAAGGUGUCAGUGUUUGCAAACUGAACUUCUGCAAGGAUUGUACUCUUGGGAAGCAGAAGGUGGCAUUCAAGUUAGCAAAUUGUGAGAACAAAAGCAAAGGAUUGCUGGAUUAUAUUCACUCAGAUGUCUGGGGCCCGGCACCAGUAAGGUCUAUGGGAGGCUUCAAGUACUUUGUUACUUUUCUAGAUGAUUUUUCGAGGAAGAUUUGGGUCUGCUUUAUGAGAGAGAAAUCCGAGGUUUUCACCAAGUUUAAGGAGUGGAAAACAGAAGUAGAAAAUCUAACAGGCAGAAAAAUCAAGUAUUUGAGAAGUAACAGUGGCAGUGAAUAUAGAAUGAAAAGGUUCUUACAAUUUUGUAAGGAUGAAGGAAUCACGAGACACUUCACGGUGAAGGAGAAUCUCCAACAAAACGGAGCUGCUAGAAGGAUGAAUAAAACUCUCUUGGAGAGAGAAAGAAGCAUGCGGUUGCAUGCAGGAUUACCGGACACGUUUUGGGCAGAUGCAGUUAACCAUGCGUGUUACUUGGUUAAUCGGUCACCAUCAAAAGUUUUGGACUUCAAGUGUGCAGAGGAGGUAUGGUCUGGAGAACCAGCUGACUACUUAAGGGUGUUUGGUUGCAGUGCAUAUGCUCAUAUUUCCAACAAUGAGCAAACCAAACUCAGGCCAAAGUCACGCAAGUGCAUAUUUCUUGGUAUUGAGAAAGGAGUAAAAGGCUACAAGUUAUGGGAUAUUGUAAGCAAGAAAAGGGUUCUAAGUAGACACGUCAUUUUUGAUGAGGAGACAAUGCCGUUCAAUGAAGUCAAGACAAUUGAGGUGAAGAAGAAGACUAAUGUUGUAGAGAAAGCAACCAAAGUUCCUCUAACCAAAGGGAUCAUGGAAGAAACUCCAGCUCAGGUGGAGCAAAUUGAGCAAGUGGAGCAUGAUAAAAGGGUUAUCGAGGAAGAAGUCUUAGAGCAACAACAACAGUCAUUAAUACAAGCUCAGGUGGAGCAAUUAGCAAUGCGAACCUACGACUCGGUUCGUCAGUCACUUGGGCAGGAGUUCCAGAGAAGCAUAGCAUUGGACAAGUAUGCUCUAAGUUUCAGUCCAGAAGAUCCAACCACGUAUCAGGAAGCUAUAGCAAAUGAUGUACGGGAAAGUUGGAGGGGAGCUAUGUUAGAACAGAUGAAGAAGUCCAUACAUAAGGACUUGGUUCAGGAGUCGGUUCCUAAGCCCAAAGAAAGAAAUCAGGUUGGCUGUAAGUGGGUUUAUAGGAAAAUAGAAGUAAUGCAUGAUAAGGAAGCCAUGAGAUUCAAAGCUUGGGUAUUGGCCAAGGAGUAUUCACAGAAAGUAAAGGUCGAUUUUGACCAAAUCUCACCAAUGGAUAGCUGCGUUUAUCAUCAUGUGUUCAAGGAUAGUAUGGGUUUACUAUUGCUACUUUAUUUAGGUGACGUGUUGACUACAUGUCAGGAUAUGUCUAGAAUUCCGAAGUUAAAGACACAACUAGGGAAGGAAUUUGACAUAAAGGAUCUAGAAGCUGCACAGCAGAUCCUAGGAGUGAAGAUAAGGAGGGACAGAGAAGCGGGAAAAAUAGGGCUAUUAUUUGAACCCGUGUCUACUCCACCAGUAGCACACUUCCAGUUGAGUGUGCAGAGAUCAUCUACGAAGGAGUUAGAUGAGAUGAUGAAUGUGUCUUAUGCAAGAGUAGUGGAAUGUCUUAUGUACGCUAGAAUCUGCACAAGACCAGGUUUAGCUCAAGCAUUGAGCAUUAUGUCCAAGUAUAUGGCGAAUCCGGGUAGACGACACUGGCAAGCAGUGAAGUGGAUUCUGUAUUACUUGAGAGACACGAAGGAGCAUGAAUUUGUGUUUGAAAGACAACAAGAACAAGCAUGCAUUGCUGGUCCCAAAGGUUCAGAUUUGGCAGGAGACAUAGACAAGACAAGACCUGCAACAAGUUAUAUCUAUACUUGUAAUGAAGGUUUAGUGAGCUGUAGAGCAACUAUGGAAUCAGCUACGAUGUUGUCUACCACUGAAGUAGAUUGCAUGGCACUAACAGAAACUUCCGCAGAGGCAUUAUGGCUUAAUGGAUUAAUGAGUGAGUUUGGAAUUCAACAAGAAGCUGUGAUGAAGAAUGGGGUCAUCAAUUUGACAAGGAAUCAAGUGUUUCAAGCAGAGACGAAACACGUUGAUGUUCGUAGUCAUCGCCGCGAAGGUUGGGUCAACUCAAGGAAGAUAACAAAUGAGAAAGUUCAUUCAAGGGAGAAUGUCUCAGAUUGUUUGACCAGGACCAUUGCCAUGGAGGAGUUCAAGUGUUACUUGAACCUGCUCGAUCUUACAGCAUGUUGAGAUUGAGGUGGAGCACCUCCUCACUUGAGGUGUGUUGAGGCAAGAAGAGUCUUGCCAAGGUGAAGGUUCUUGAAGGUUUCAGGAUUACUUCAAGAAGUACUAGAUAUCCUGGAGGUUGCAGCAAUCAGUUUGGUAUCAACUCACCAAGGUGGAGAUUGUUGUGAAUUUGGCUCGUUGAUAUGCCUAAAUUGAUUAGGAUUCAAGGCAAAACCAGAUGGGGCUGCAGGGAGCUCAUAUAUUGUGUCCUCAGAUCAGAGAAGAGAUCUCAGAGAGUUCUCAGUUAACAUACAAACAUAGAGGCAGGGAGAGCCAAGGGUGAUAGAGAGAUCUAGCAAAGAGGUUGGGGAUUAGCAUAGGGAUUUCAAUAAGUACUUGUAAUCAAGUUGUUAUUCUCCAUAGUGCUAGUGAUUCUCAAGAGAGAUCACACAGAGGACGUAGGCAAAGUUUUUGUCGAACCUCUAUAAAAUUCUGUGUUCGUGUGCUGUGGUUUUCUGCUGUGAUAUUUUGCAUCAUCAUCCUAUUAUUGUUUGCACAGUCAUAAGCCUAUAAAGAGAAACAAGGUUCUGGGUAAAAGGUGCAUAUUUACUACAAUAACCACAAGUUUGCAUGAUAAGUACCUGUUCUAGAAGAAUGAUAAAAGUUGCAUGCUGUUUAUGCUUGUUAGCCUACAGUUACUUUGUAUGUGCUCUUGAACAUUGCAUUAUAUUGACAGCUGGUGAAUCUU
RNA transcript from Rosa chinensis, 4976 nucleotides. It is a transcript of the gene named retrovirus-related Pol polyprotein from transposon TNT 1-94, with no coding region annotated. The record is from RefSeq and is a predicted model, not a curated record. The transcript has 2 exons. NCBI's taxonomy places the organism in Eukaryota, Viridiplantae, Streptophyta, Magnoliopsida, Rosales, Rosaceae.